UCCUGGGUGGCUCAGUCAGUUAAGCAUCUGACUUCAGCUCAGGUCAUGAUCUCCCAGUUCGUGGGUUCAAGCCCCACAUCAGGCU
Molecule: transfer RNA, 85 nt
Filed under: Felis catus (domestic cat)
Lineage: Eukaryota; Metazoa; Chordata; Mammalia; Carnivora; Felidae
Also listed under: 2 other names
Rfam family: tRNA
About the family: Transfer RNA (tRNA) molecules are approximately 80 nucleotides in length.
Source: Rfam by way of RNAcentral